This 283-nucleotide ribosomal RNA is filed under the name uncultured bacterium. Its description in RNAcentral is "partial 16S ribosomal RNA". It matches the Rfam family "Bacterial small subunit ribosomal RNA", at positions 123 to 406 of the family's 1533-position model. The record is from RNAcentral.
AAUCUACCUUUUACAGCGGGAUAGCCCAGAGAAAUUUGGAUUAAUACCGCAUAGUAUAUCGAGUUGGCAUCAACCUGAUAUUAAAGUCACAACGGUAAAAGAUGAGCAUGCGUCCCAUUAGCUAGUUGGUAAGGUAACGGCUUACCAAGGCAACGAUGGGUAGGGGUCCUGAGAGGGAGAUCCCCCACACUGGUACUGAGAUACGGACCAGACUCCUACGGGAGGCAGCAGUGAGGAAUAUUGGACAAUGGGCGCAAGCCUGAUCCAGCCAUGCCGCGUGCAG